This is an RNA transcript of Rhineura floridana, 4625 nucleotides long. RefSeq lists it as uncharacterized. The transcript is spliced from 3 exons. NCBI's taxonomy places the organism in Eukaryota, Metazoa, Chordata, Lepidosauria, Squamata, Rhineuridae. The record is from RefSeq and is a predicted model, not a curated record.
AUGGAGGGAGGAGGAGGAGGGAGGCGAAGGGGCUAUGAGGAGGGGAGUCGCUGUUUCUGCUGCCUCCGCCGCCCGCUCUCCCCUCAGAGCCCCGAGGCUGGCGGGCUCCUCCAGUCCCUGCUGCUUCGGCGGCUCCUCCCCUUCCUGAGCGGCGGCUCCCGAGCCUGCCCGCCGCCCUCGCCUCCGCGGAGCCGCUCCAUGCACGGGGACGGGCGGCGAAAGAAGGCGGCGUCGGCGUCGAGUUAGUCCAGUCUGAGCGACGGGAACGAGGAGACGGGACGCGCAUCCAACAGCUCAUCUGAAGACACCUGCUCCCGAGCAACAGGCUCGAGGUCAGGGGGCGGUGCCACACUGGAAUCCUCCUUGGAACUGCUUGGUAAAGGAGGAGCUGGCACUGACUCUGAAGCUUCCCCCCACAAGUCCUCUGCAUCAACUGGGGGUGGUGCGCUCGGCUCCUUGGAAAGGGCAUUACUCGUGGGAACUGGCUGGAGAGCAGGCUGCUUCCCUCCCACACGAUCCUGCUCAGACACAACAAUCCCCAACUCUGCUUCUUCUGGCUGAGGUCUAGGUUUCUCUGGAUAAGCCUCAUGGAAUUCUCUCACCAAAGUCGGAGCGUGCACAUUCUCCUCUGUUUCCCAGGAACGUUCAGUUGGAUCGUACCCCUUCCAAUGAAUCAGGUACUGAAGACGCCCUCGGCGUUUUCGCGAGUCCAGAAUCUGUUCUACUUCGUAUUCCUCCUCCCCCUCUACCAACAACGGCGGCGCGGGCUCCACUCGCGGACGGUGAGGGUCGGGGGCAGCAUCCUUGGUCAACAAUGCCCUGUGGAAGACUGGGUGCAUCUUGAAGCGACGGGAACGAGGAGACAGGGGAUGCGCAUCCAACAGCUCAUCUGAAGACACCUGCUCCCGAGCAACAGGCUCGAGGUCAGGGGGUGGUGCCACACUGGAAUCCUCCUGGGAGCUGCUUGGUAAAGGAGGAGCUGGCACUGACUCUGAAGCUUCCCCCCACAAGUCCUCUGCAUCAACUGGGGCCGGUGCGCUCGGCUCCUCGGAAAGGGCGUUACUCGUGGGAACUGGCUGGAGAGCAGGCUGCCCCCCUCCCGCACGAUCCUGCUCAGACACAACAAUCCCCAACUCUGCUUCUUCUGGCUGCAGAGGUGCCUGAAACUCAUGUCUCCCUCCUUCCUGUCCCUUCUGAGUUGGCUGCAGCGCAACACUUUCUGUCCAAACAAUAGACGUUCCUUUUGUUUACUACAACAUUUUUGUGGUUUCUAAUUUUAAUUUCCCCCCUACUUCUUAAAUAACAAAAUUCUAAGAUAGAUGUGCUCUCCAUCUCUCUAAUAUUGGGUAGAUUUGCAAUUUUGCUUGUACAAAAGUAAAGCACUUGUACUUUUGAGGCUGCAAUCCUCUAUGCACUUACCUAGAAGUAAGUACCACUAAACAGAAUAGUCUUACUUCUGAGUAAUCAUGCAUGGGAUUGCUCUGUAAAUUUCAUAAUAUGCCAAAAGUACAAUUUUUUAUACUAAAUGAUUAAUUUUAUAUUGUAAAACUAGGUAUUGCCUAUAGACUGUAUCCAGUGUUAGUCCUACUCAGAGUAGAUCCAUUGAAACUUAAUUCAACUGAGUCGAGUUUGUUGAUUUCAAGGGGCCUACUCUGAGAAGGACUGAGUAGCAGUAAUGGCAAUUUCCCCCAAAAUGUCUGCUUUUUUUCUGACUCCUUAUGGUUCAAACAUUUUCAGAAAUUUUACAUCUUUACUGGGGAGUAAGGCCCAGUGACUGAAUGGGGGUUACUUCUGAGCAGACAUGUAUAAGAUUUUGCUACUAGAUUGCAACCCUAUGCAUUCUGUAUUCAGAGUAACACUGAAUUUUUACUUCCGAGUAGGGCAUGUUGAGUAGUGCUGUUAGGCUGUGAUCCUAUGCACACUUACUUGGAAUGAAGUCCCACCAUAUAAAAUGUGGUCAAAGGCAAAGAGCUCAAUGCUGUGCAUGUAUCUUUACUCUGACAUUAAGCAUACAUGCAAAAAUUGGGCUUUUGGCCUAAUUAUAUUUUUAAGCCAUUUAUGCUCCAUCCUCUAGUUAAAAGGGCUCUCAGAGUGGAGUACAAGAAGCAGUGCCAAGAAGGUCCCUGCCCCUCAGGCCUACAAUCUAAAAUGACAACACAUGAGAAAAACAGAAUAUGAGGGAGGAAUGAAAAGCAAGCUCAACCACAAAUUCUUAGAAGUUACAAUUUUGCAACAGUUAUAUAGCUCUCUAUGUAGAUUCUGGUUGUCUGGAAGAGCUGCAACUCCUUGCUGAUGUCAACAGUGGUUCUGUCUGUCUUGCUGAUCCUAGAAGCACUGCCCCCCACUCUACCCCACCAAAUCCAGGAGCAGAGCAGGUGGCAAUAGCCAGGGCAGGGCAGGCACGACAAAUUUCUUCAGGAGGUUUGUCACUAGCAGAGGUUUGAUUAUGUACCUUGGUGAAUUUCGCUUCUGCCUAUUGCUUUUAGGUGCUCUUGGGGAAAAGAGUUAAGGUUGCAGGAUAUAACAAGUCAGAAGUUGUAUGUGUGUCUUAUGUGCCUUCAAGUCGAUUUUGACUUGUGGCACCCUAUGAAUCCGUGACCUCCAAUAGCAUUUGUUGUAAACCACCCUGUUCAGUUCUUGUAAGUUCAGGUCUGUCGCUUCCUUUAUGGAAUCAAUCCAUCUCGUUUGGUCUUCCUCUUUUUCUACGCCCUUCAGUUUUUCCCAGCAUUAUUUUUUCUUGUGAAUCAUGUCUUCUCAUUAUGUGUCCAAUGUAUGAUAACCUCAGUUUCAUCAUUUUAGCUUCUAGUGAUAGUUCUGGUUUAAUUUGUUCUAACACCCAAUUAUUUGUCUUUUUCGCGGCCCAUGUUAUGUGCAAAGCUCUCCUCCAACACCACAUUUCAAAUGUUGGUUUUUCUCUUACCUGCUUUUUUCACUGUCCAACUUUCACAUCCAUACAUAGAGAUCGGGAAUACCAUGGUCUGAAUUAUCCUGACUUUAGUGUUCAGUGAUACAUCUUUGCAUUUGAGGGCAUUUUCUAGUUCUCUCAUAGCUGCCUUCCCCAGUCCUAGCCUUCUUCUGAUUCCUUGACUAUUGUCUCCAUUUUGGUUAAUGACUGUGCCAACGUAUUGAAUCCUUGACAAGUUCAAUGUCCUCGUUGUCAACUUUAAAGUUACAUAGUCUUUUUGAUGUUCAGCUGUAGUCCUGCUUUUGUGCUUUCCUCUUUAACUUUCAACUGCAUUCAUUUGAGAACAUUACUGGUUUCUGCUAGCAGUAUGGUAUCAUCUGCAUAUCUUAAAUUAUUGAUAUUUCUCCCUCCAAUUUUCACACCUUCAUCUUGGUCCAAACCUGCGUUCUGUAUGAUAUCUUCUGCAUAUACAUAACACAAAUCAGGGGUGGUAACCACAGUAUGAGAGACCAUAUACAUGAUAAUGAUCAGCCUUUGAAAUUCAAAGAUGUCAUCAUGAUGGGCAAAUUGGAUUAGUUGCAUCUUGAGAUCAUAAAAUAUAAAAUCAAGCUGCUUCCCUGGCCUGUAUCAAGAAGAUAUUAAUGGAAUGCAAAGAAGCUGUUGAGAGAGAGAACUAAACCCUGGCUCUGGUGUGCUCUUCCAUCAAAAUUAUUAGGAUGUCUGCCUUCUGUCAGAGCAACACAUGUGCUGGAUUGCAGUUUGCAACUUUCAUCUCUCCAUUACAUGAUAGUGUGGUUGGAUGAAUUAAGAGAGUGUCUUCCAUCAUAUUGAUUGGAAAAGAAAUCUGCUACAGUCAAGUUGAGAAUACCACAAAGAAUCCAAUUUCAGAAGACAAUAGACAGUCUAUAAAGUCAACGUGACUUUUAUGACCUUUUUUACCUCCUCUUUUCACCAGAAGGCCUGUUAAUCCCUCCCAUCUGCUCCAAGAAAAUUGGAAACCUAUCCCUUUCUGCCACCUAGUGCCACAACAGAGAAUCACAAGCAUACAUGUAAUACUGUACAGCCAGCUUUUGAGCUUCAGUAUUUCCAGAUUCAUAUCCUGCCCUUUCUUCCAGGGUGGCAAACACUGAAAUGAUAACACAGUACAAUUAAAUAUAAUUUUUUAAAAAAAACAAAACUUUGAAAAACAUGUUAAACAGACAUCUGCUAUUAUAGGUGAUAAUUUCAAGAUUGUCCGGAACAGUUACUGUUCAGCCAUCAAAUGCCUGGGUAAACAGGAAUAUUUUCAAAUUCCUCCUGAAAGAUAAUAAUGAUGGUGAUAUACUAAUCAUUACGUACGAAUGAUACUUCGACUGAAUGUAAUGCCUUGCAGGUUCUUACGGGCCACAAAUGAAAUGAAUCUGCAAAGAUUCCAUGAAUAACUUGUGAACUUUUUUUUUCCAUAAAGAAAACAUAACAUUAAAUAUAACACAGUUUUAUAUGGUUCUCGGCUUCCAAAAACUUAAAAGAUCCUUGUCCAUGUGUCCUUUUUUUUUUUGGCAAAAUAUCUUUGCAAUCAACUGAAAAGUUCUUUUUCUUAAUCUUCAGGAGAUGAAUUGCUUUAUCCUGCUGCUCCAAACCACUGCAGCUUCAGCUAGGCCCGGAAAGUCCACAGAUUAAGCAAGGCCCUAUGAUACAUAUACAAAUAACCACCAUUCAAAUAUAUAUUCACUAAUAGGCA